Molecule: transfer RNA, 90 nt
Filed under: Patescibacteria group bacterium
Lineage: Bacteria
Description: tRNA-Ser
Rfam family: tRNA
About the family: Transfer RNA (tRNA) molecules are approximately 80 nucleotides in length. Their secondary structure includes four short double-helical elements and three loops (D, anti-codon, and T loops).
Source: RNAcentral
GGAGAGGUGGCAGAGUGGUCGAAUGCACCAGUCUUGAAAACUGGAGUGCUGGAAACGGUACCGUGGGUUCGAAUCCCACCCUCUCCGCCA